AUGACCCCUUUGUUCCUUGGAGGCAAGCCUUCCACAUCAAGCAGACUGGGGCUGCCGUACCAAGCCAUCAGCGAGCCCCCAUUGGUCACUGACUUAUGGUUUGAUCUUAGGCCACCCCUCGGCCCACUUUCUGGCUCGCCAAGUAGGCAUAAAGAUUCCCCAAGGCUCCAUCUUCAAGGUGACCCUGUUUUCUGUAGGUACUCAUUUCCUCCUACCAGUCUGAAGAUCUUCAAUGGGUCCCCCCAUUCCUUGGGAUCGUAGGAUGUUGGGCCCCUGUCCUGCCACCUCCCGAACUAGCAAUAGCUUCCCAGCUUACCGCAAGUGCUCUGUCUUCCU
RNAcentral lists this long non-coding RNA (336 nucleotides) under Monodelphis domestica (gray short-tailed opossum). Its description in RNAcentral is "lncRNA (ENSMODG00000032590.2)". Lineage: Eukaryota; Metazoa; Chordata; Mammalia; Didelphimorphia; Didelphidae. The record is from RNAcentral.